This 57-nucleotide transfer RNA is filed under the name Mniodendron camptotheca. Its description in RNAcentral is "partial tRNA-Phe". It matches the Rfam family "tRNA", at positions 1 to 55 of the family's 71-position model. From Rfam's summary of the family: Transfer RNA (tRNA) molecules are approximately 80 nucleotides in length. Their secondary structure includes four short double-helical elements and three loops (D, anti-codon, and T loops). The record is from RNAcentral. Lineage: Eukaryota; Viridiplantae; Streptophyta; Bryopsida; Hypnodendrales; Spiridentaceae.
GUCGGAAUAGCUCAGUUGGUAGAGCAGAGGACUGAAAAUCCUCGUGUCACCAGUUCA